This 327-nucleotide ribosomal RNA is filed under the name uncultured bacterium. RNAcentral describes it as "bacterial SSU rRNA". It matches the Rfam family "Bacterial small subunit ribosomal RNA", at positions 570 to 898 of the family's 1533-position model. The record is from RNAcentral.
CGUAGGUGGUAGUGUAAGUCUGGGGUGGAAUGCCGGGGCUUAACCCUGGAAUUGCCUUGGAAACUGCAUUACUUGAGUCAGUGAGGGGAGGGUAGAAUUCCUGGUGUAGCGGUGAAAUGCGUAGAUAUCAGGAGGAAGGCCUGUGGCGAAGGCGGCCCUCUGGCGCUGGACUGACACUGAGGCGCGAAAGCGUGGGGAGCAAACAGGAUUAGAUACCCUGGUAGUCCACGCCCUAAACGGUGGGCACUAGGUGUAGGGCUCGUAAGGGUUCUGUGCCGAAGGGAAACCAUUAAGUGCCCCGCCUGGGGAUACGGCCGCAAGGUUGAA